Molecule: ribosomal RNA, 405 nt
Filed under: Apodachlya brachynema
Lineage: Eukaryota; Oomycota; Saprolegniomycetes; Leptomitales; Leptomitaceae
Description: partial small subunit ribosomal RNA
Rfam family: Eukaryotic small subunit ribosomal RNA
Source: RNAcentral
GCUUGUCUCAAAGAUUAAGCCAUGCAUGUCUAAGUAUAAACAACUUUGUACUGUGAAACUGCGAAUGGCUCAUUAUAUCAGUUAUAGUCUACUCGAUAGUACCUUACUACUUGGAUAACCGUAGUAAUUCUAGAGCUAAUACAUGCGUAAAUACCCAACUGCUUGUCGGACGGGUAGCAUUUAUUAGAUUGAAACCAAUGCAGCUUCGGCUGGUAUUGUGUUGAGUCAUAAUAACUGUUCGAAUCGCAUGCUUCGGCAGGCGAUAGUUCAUUCAAAUUUCUGCCCUAUCAGCUUUCGACGGUAGUGUAGUGGACUACCGUGGCGUUAACGGGUAACGGAGAAUUAGGGUUCGAUUCCGGAGAGGGAGCCUGAGAAAUGGCUACCACAUCCAAGGAAGGCAGCAGG